This 71-nucleotide transfer RNA is filed under the name marine sediment metagenome. RNAcentral describes it as "tRNA-Ala". It matches the Rfam family "tRNA". From Rfam's summary of the family: Transfer RNA (tRNA) molecules are approximately 80 nucleotides in length. Their secondary structure includes four short double-helical elements and three loops (D, anti-codon, and T loops). Further hydrogen bonds mediate the characteristic L-shaped molecular structure. tRNAs have two regions of fundamental functional importance: the anti-codon, which is responsible for specific mRNA codon recognition, and the 3' end, to which the tRNAs corresponding amino acid is attached (by aminoacyl-tRNA synthetases). tRNAs cope with the degeneracy of the genetic code in two manners: having more than one tRNA (with a specific anti-codon) for a particular amino acid; and 'wobble' base-pairing, i.e. permitting non-standard base-pairing at the 3rd anti-codon position. The record is from RNAcentral.
GGCGUUGUGGCAGAGCGGUUAUGCAUCCGCUCGCAAAGCGGUGAAAGUGGGUUCGACUCCUGCCAACGCCU